RNAcentral lists this long non-coding RNA (968 nucleotides) under Homo sapiens (human). RNAcentral's name for it is "HSALNT0025866". The record is from RNAcentral. Lineage: Eukaryota; Metazoa; Chordata; Mammalia; Primates; Hominidae.
CCGGGCACAGCUCAGUUUUACACGUUAGGGAGACGUGAGGCAUCGACCCAUAUGUGUAAGAGGAACAUUGGUUCGGUCCGGACAACUCCACAAGGGGAGGGGGACAUUCCGCAAGGGAUUUCCUAGUGGGCAAAUUGUGAGAGGUAUGUAGGGUUUUUUUAAAUCUUUGCAGCUAUUUUAUUUAGAAAUAAAAUGGGAAGCAGGUUUGCCUGACGCAGUUUCCAGCUUGACUUACCUUUGCUGAGUGAUUUUGGGGUCCGGAAACGUAUGUUCCGUCCAUCAUGAAGGGCCCCAGCCUAUCCCAUCACAGUGAGGGGUGGGGCAUGACCUGGAGCCGCAGUUGGCAACGGGAGUGGCUUUAGCACCCCGACCACCCUAACAUCUUGCACUGUCUGGGGGCUCCCCGGGCUCAGCAACACCCACCUCUGUGGCUGGGAGCUGGGCUCAGCCACAUCCCUGCAACUUCUCCGGGACACCGCCAUCCAGCUACGCCAAGGCCUGACGGCGGCUCCAUGUUUCCUGCCAAUGGCGGUGCUAUUAAUUUAUACAGAAAGCUCACAUUUGCCAUCACUCCCCUUUACGAAUCGCUUCACCCUCUGACCAGAUCCCCUCACAGUCACUUUCUAGAACUCAUUCUGGUGCCAGCUAUCUUUAUGGACAGAAAACUACAUUUUGAAAUCAAAUCAAGUGUGUUCUAUUUUCCAUCCAAAUAAAUCUGGAGCACUUUCUGCCUCUUUGGAUGCUCUCUUAAAACUACCUUUUAGCUAUGCCAUAGCACACAAAUUCAAAAUGCCUUCAAAUGUUGAAUCAUCUUUUAUUGUGUUUUUGUGUUGUUAAGUUGAUGAAUCCUUACGAACGUAAAAUAAAAAGGCAAUGGAUACAGUUGAAGGAGAGUUUGGGUUCUUUGUGAGGAGUGAAGGUUCUGAGUUAUCUGACAUCUCCCUUUGACGCUUUGCACGAGUACUUUC